Molecule: ribosomal RNA, 497 nt
Filed under: uncultured bacterium
Lineage: Bacteria
Description: partial 16S ribosomal RNA
Rfam family: Bacterial small subunit ribosomal RNA
Source: RNAcentral
GAUGAACGCUGGCGGCGUGCCUAAUACAUGCAAGUCGAGCGAACAGAUAAGGAGCUUGCUCCUUUGACGUUAGCGGCGGACGGGUGAGUAACACGUGGGUAACCUACCUAUAAGACUGGAAUAACUCCGGGAAACAGGGGCUAAUGCCGGAUAACAUUUAGAACCGCAUGGUUCUAAAGUGAAAGAUGGUUUUACUAUCACUUAUAGAUGGACCCGCGCCGUAUUAGCUAGUUGGUAAGGUAACGGCUUACCAAGGCAACGAUACGUAGCCGACCUGAGAGGGUGAUCGGCCACACUGGAACUGAGACACGGUCCAGACUCCUACGGGAGGCAGCAGUAGGGAAUCUUCCGCAAUGGGCGAAAGCCUGACGGAGCAACGCCGCGUGAGUGAUGAAGGUCUUCGGAUCGUAAAACUCUGUUAUUAGGGAAGAACAAAUGUGUAAGUAACUGUGCACGUCUUGACGGUACCUAAUCAGAAAGCCACGGCUAACUACGUG